GCUAGAAUGUCAGGACUACAGCACGGCGAUCAUUCCAGCUGAUAGCGAUGUAAGACAACACCGCAACUAGGAACAGGUCAAGAUCGUAACCGAGCAUGCAAUUGGGCAUAUGCACAAUCGGCGCAAGCCUGAAUGCAGCUGGCCGGAGUGGAUGACAAAGCUACGGAUCGUAACAGCACCUUCAGUCGUAAGCAUGUGUAGUAGUAAUAGCUGCAUCAUUGACCUCAGCGAACGAAGAAGCACUGCUUAACUCCUUGCUGCAGCCGUGGUAUACGGGGGGUGCAAGCUUAAUAGGAAUUACUAGGCGUAAGCCGCCUGCAGUUGGUUGUUAAGUAGAUGUGAAAGCCCCGGGGCUCAACCUGGGAAUUGCAUUUGAAACUGGCAGACAAGAGUACUGUAGAGGGGGGUAGAAUUCAGGUGAGCGAUGAAAUGCGUAGAGAUCUGAAGGAAUACUGGUGGCGAGGCCGGCCCCAGGACAGAUACUGACACUCAGAUGCGAAGCGUGGGGAGCAAACAGGAUAGAUACCAUGGUAGUCCACGCGUAAACGACGUCUACUCGGAGGUUGUGGCCCUGAGCCGUGGCUUUCGGAGCUAACGCGUUAAGUAGACCGCCUGGGGAGUACGGUCGCAAGAUUAAAACUCAAUGAAUUGACGGGGGCCCGCACAAGCGGUGGAGCAUGUGGUUUAAUUCGAUGCAACGCGAAGAACCUUACCUACUCUUGACAUCCAGAGAACUUUCCAGAGAUGGAUUGGUGCCUUCGGGAACUCUGAGACAGGUGCUGCAUGGCGUCGUCAGCUCGUGUUGUGAAAUGUUGGGUUAAGUCCCGCAACGAGCGCAACCCUUAUCCUUGUUUGCCAGCGAGUAAUGUCGGGAACUCCAGGGAGACUGCCGGUGAUAAACCGGAGGAAGGUGGGGACGACGUCAAGUCAUCAUGGCCCUUACGAGUAGGGCUACACACGUGCUACAAUGGCGCAUACAGAGGGCGGCCAACUUGCGAAAGUGAGCGAAUCCCAAAAAAUGCGUCGUAGUCCGGAUUGGAGUCUGCAACUCGACUCCAUGAAGUAGGAAUCGCUUGUCAUCGUGCCACAGAAUAUCACAAA
Molecule: ribosomal RNA, 1101 nt
Filed under: Vibrio parahaemolyticus
Lineage: Bacteria; Pseudomonadati; Pseudomonadota; Gammaproteobacteria; Vibrionales; Vibrionaceae
Description: bacterial SSU rRNA
Rfam family: Bacterial small subunit ribosomal RNA
Source: RNAcentral